This 22-nucleotide non-coding RNA is filed under the name Arabidopsis thaliana (thale cress). The record is from RNAcentral. Lineage: Eukaryota; Viridiplantae; Streptophyta; Magnoliopsida; Brassicales; Brassicaceae.
CACUGAGAUUCAGCCCUUUGUC